UAGGGAAUAUUGCAAAAUGGGCGAAAGCCCGAUGCAGCAACGCCGCGUGGGCGAUGAAGGCAUUCGGGUCGUAAAGCCCUUUUUGAGGGGAUGAGGAAGGACAGUACCCUCAGAAUAAGCCACGGCUAACUACGUGCCAGCAGCCGCGGUAAAACGUAGGAGGCGAGCGUUAUCCGGAUUUACUGGGCGUAAAGCGCGUGCAGGCGGAUUGGAGAGUUGGAUGUGAAAGCUCCCGGCUUAACUGGGAGAGGUCGUUCAAUACUUCCAGUCUUGAGUGCAGUAGAGGGAAGUGGAAUUCCGGGUGUAGUGGUGAAAUGCGUAGAUAUCCGGAGGAACACCAGUGGCGAAAGCGGCUUCCUGGACUGUAACUGACGCUCAGACGUGAAAGCUAGGGUAGCAAACG
RNAcentral lists this ribosomal RNA (403 nucleotides) under uncultured bacterium. RNAcentral describes it as "bacterial SSU rRNA". It matches the Rfam family "Bacterial small subunit ribosomal RNA", at positions 355 to 774 of the family's 1533-position model. The record is from RNAcentral.